GGGGCCGUAGCUCAGCCGGGAGAGCGCGUGGUCGGCAUCCACGAGGUCACGGGUUCAAGUCCCGUCGGCUCCACCA
This 76-nucleotide transfer RNA is filed under the name Candidatus Acetothermia bacterium. RNAcentral's name for it is "tRNA-Ala". It matches the Rfam family "tRNA". From Rfam's summary of the family: Transfer RNA (tRNA) molecules are approximately 80 nucleotides in length. Their secondary structure includes four short double-helical elements and three loops (D, anti-codon, and T loops). The record is from RNAcentral. RNAcentral also lists the same sequence under 1 other name. Lineage: Bacteria; Candidatus Bipolaricaulota.